CACUCUGGAAAGCAGGCACCGGUUCGCUGAUGCCUCACCGAAGGUGAAAGCUGGACUGUCCAGUCCGGUCAACCUCUCAGGUUCGAAGACAGAGCGGGG
This 99-nucleotide non-coding RNA is filed under the name marine eukaryotic metagenome. RNAcentral's name for it is "Glycine riboswitch". It matches the Rfam family "Glycine riboswitch aptamer", at positions 7 to 90 of the family's 94-position model. From Rfam's summary of the family: This family represents the bacterial glycine riboswitch. Glycine riboswitches usually consist of two metabolite-binding aptamers domains with similar structures in tandem. The record is from RNAcentral.